AAUCUUGAUGCUCUAUAUAACCAAAGCAUCCGCCUGAGAACUACGAGCACAAACGCUUAAAACUCUAAGGACUUGGCGGUGUCCCAAACCCACCUAGAGGAGCCUGUUCUAUAAUCGAUAACCCACGAUACACCCGACCACUUCUUGCCAAAACAGCCUACAUACCGCCGUCGCCAGCUCACCUCUUCUGAGAGCGCCACAGUGAGCACAAUAGCCCUAACCCCGCUAACAAGACAGGUCAAGGUAUAGCCUAUGAAGUGGAAGAAAUGGAAUACAUUUUCUAGCUUAGAAAACUCACGAAAAGGGGCAUGAAAUAGCCCCUAGAAGGCGGAUUUAGCAGUAAAGCGGGAUAACAUAAGCCCCCUUUAAGCCGGCCCUGGGGCACGUACACAC
This 393-nucleotide ribosomal RNA is filed under the name Streptopelia orientalis (eastern turtle dove). RNAcentral's name for it is "partial small subunit ribosomal RNA". It matches the Rfam family "Bacterial small subunit ribosomal RNA", at positions 805 to 1390 of the family's 1533-position model. Lineage: Eukaryota; Metazoa; Chordata; Aves; Columbiformes; Columbidae. The record is from RNAcentral.